GUGUCAGCAGCCGCGGUAAUACGUAGGGGGCAAGCGUUGUCCGGAAUCAUUGGGCGUAAAGCGCGCGUAGGCGGCCUCACAAGUCCGCUGUAAAAGUCAAAGGCUCAACCUUUGAAUGCCAGUGGAAACUGUGAGGCUAGAGUCCGGAAGAGGCGAGUGGAACUCCUGGUGUAGCGGUGGAAUGCGCAGAUAUCAGGAAGAACACCAACGGCGAAGGCAGCUCGCUGGGACGGUACUGACGCUGAGGCGCGAAAGCGUGGGGAGCAAACAGGAUUAGAAACCCCUGUAGUCC
RNAcentral lists this ribosomal RNA (292 nucleotides) under uncultured bacterium. RNAcentral's name for it is "partial 16S ribosomal RNA". It matches the Rfam family "Bacterial small subunit ribosomal RNA", at positions 505 to 796 of the family's 1533-position model. The record is from RNAcentral.